UUAAGUGAAUAAGGGCGCACGGUGGAUGCCUUGGCACUAGGAGCCGAUGAAGGACGGGACUAACACCGAUAUGCUUUGGGGAGCUGUACGUAAGCUAUGAUCCAGAGAUUUCCGAAUGGGGGAACCCAACAUCUUUAAUAGGAUGUUACGAUUGUGUGAAUACAUAGCACAUUCGAGGUAGACGCAGAGAACUGAAACAUCUAAGUACCUGCAGGAAGAGAAAGAAAAUUCGAUUCCCUGAGUAGCGGCGAGCGAAACGGGAAAAGCCCAAACCAGCAAGCUUGCUUGUUGGGGUUGUAGGACUCCAAUAUGGUAGUUCUUUCAGAUAGUCGAAUGACUUGGAAAAGUCAGUCAAAGAGGGUAAAAACCCCGUAGACGAAAUGUGGAAGACACCUAGGAGGAUCCUGAGUACGGCGGAACACGAGAAAUUCCGUCGGAAUCCGGGAGGACCAUCUCCCAAGGCUAAAUACUCCCUAGUGACCGAUAGUGAACCAGUACCGUGAGGGAAAGGUGAAAAGCACCCCGGAAGGGGAGUGAAAUAGAACCUGAAACCGUGUGCCUACAACAAGUCAAAGCCCGUUAAUGGGUGAUGGCGUGCCUUUUGUAGAAUGAACCGGCGAGUUACGAUUGCAUGCGAGGUUAAGUUGAAGAGACGGAGCCGCAGCGAAAGCGAGUCUGAAUAGGGCGUUUGAGUAUGUAGUCGUAGACCCGAAACCAUGUGAUCUACCCAUGUCCAGGUUGAAGGUGCGGUAAAACGCACUGGAGGACCGAACCCACGUACGUUGAAAAGUGCGGGGAUGAGGUGUGGGUAGCGGAGAAAUUCCAAACGAACUUGGAGAUAGCUGGUUCUCUCCGAAAUAGCUUUAGGGCUAGCCUCGGAAUUGAGAAUGAUGGAGGUAGAGCACUGUUUGGACUAGGGGCCCAUCUCGGGUUACCGAAUUCAGAUAAACUCCGAAUGCCAUUCAUUCAUAUCCGGGAGUCAGACUGUGAGUGAUAAGAUCCAUAGUCGAAAGGGAAACAGCCCAGACCACCAGCUAAGGUCCCAAAAUAUAUGUUAAGUGGAAAAGGAUGUGGGGUUGCACAGACAACUAGGAUGUUGGCUUAGAAGCAGCCACCAUUUAAAGAGUGCGUAAUAGCUCACUAGUCGAGUGACCCUGCGCCGAAAAUGUACCGGGGCUAAACAUAUUACCGAAGCUGUGGAGUACACCUUUAGGUGUAUUGGUAGGAGAGCGUUCUAAGGGCGUCGAAGGCAGAUCGUGAGGACUGCUGGAGCGCUUAGAAGUGAGAAUGCCGGUAUGAGUAGCGAAAGACAGGUGAGAAUCCUGUCCACCGAAUGACUAAGGUUUCCUGGGGAAGGCUCGUCCGCCCAGGGUUAGUCGGGACCUAAGCCGAGGCCGACAGGCGUAGGCGAUGGAUAACAGGUUGAUAUUCCUGUACCCGUUGUUUUUGUUUGAGCAAUGGAGGGACGCAGGAGGCUAAGGAAUGCAGACGAUCGGAAAUGUCUGUCCAAGCAGUAAGUCUGAAGAGGAGUCAAAUGCUUCUUUUCUUAAGGACAAGCUGUGAUGGGGAGGGAAAUAAUAGUACCGAAGUUCCUGAUGUCACACUGCCGAGAAAAGCUUCUAGUGAGAAAACAGCGGCCCGUACCGCAAACCGACACAGGUAGUCGAGGAGAGAAUCCUAAGGUGAGCGAGAGAACUCUCGUUAAGGAACUCGGCAAAAUGACCCCGUAACUUCGGGAGAAGGGGUGCUGAUCAUACGAUCAGCCGCAGUGAAUAGGCCCAAGCGACUGUUUAUCAAAAACACAGGUCUCUGCAAAAUCGUAAGAUGAAGUAUAGGGGCUGACGCCUGCCCGGUGCUGGAAGGUUAAGAGGAGUGCUUAGCGCAAGCGAAGGUACGAAUUGAAGCCCCAGUAAACGGCGGCCGUAACUAUAACGGUCCUAAGGUAGCGAAAUUCCUUGUCGGGUAAGUUCCGACCCGCACGAAAGGCGUAACGAUUUGGGCACUGUCUCAACGAGAGACUCGGUGAAAUUUUAGUACCUGUGAAGAUGCAGGUUACCCGCGACAGGACGGAAAGACCCCAUGGAGCUUUACUGUAGUUUGAUAUUGAGUGUCUGUACCGCAUGUACAGGAUAGGUAGGAGCCGUAGAAA
This 2149-nucleotide ribosomal RNA is filed under the name Enterococcus faecium. RNAcentral describes it as "partial 23S ribosomal RNA". It matches the Rfam family "Bacterial large subunit ribosomal RNA", at positions 1 to 2162 of the family's 2925-position model. Lineage: Bacteria; Bacillati; Bacillota; Bacilli; Lactobacillales; Enterococcaceae. The record is from RNAcentral.